This 76-nucleotide transfer RNA is filed under the name Mycobacteroides abscessus subsp. bolletii. RNAcentral describes it as "tRNA-Phe(gaa)". It matches the Rfam family "tRNA". Rfam says of the family: Transfer RNA (tRNA) molecules are approximately 80 nucleotides in length. The record is from RNAcentral. RNAcentral also lists the same sequence under 1 other name. Lineage: Bacteria; Bacillati; Actinomycetota; Actinomycetes; Mycobacteriales; Mycobacteriaceae.
CGGUUCGUAGCUCAGUUUGGUGAGAGCGCUCGGUUGAAACCCGAGAGGGCCUUGGUUCGACUCCAAGCGAUCCGGC